GUAGAAUGCUUAGUAUAGUCCUUGGUAUUUUGGGAGCAAUCAAUACAUUAUAGACAGUGGUAUAAAUAGUUUUAUUUCAAUUAUAGUGUUAUUGACUAUAUAGGGGAAAAUGUUUUUAUAGAUACUUUUCUGAAUCAGUUAAUUAAAUGUAGCUUGCCUGAUGAUUAUUAUUUAUAGACCAAAUAUAUGUAAAGAAACCUUUUGUUAAUGCAAAAUAGACAAACUCUUUCCUUUUCCAUCUUUUGCUUUUGUUUAGGAUGAAGGUACAAUGUUUCCUGUGGGGAAAAAUGUAGUGUACACUUGCAAUGAAGGAUACUCUCUUAUUGGAAACCCAGUGGCCAGAUGUGGAGAAGAUUUACAGUGGCUUGUUGGGGAAAUGCAUUGUCAGAAAAUUGCCUGUGUUCUACCUGUACUGAUGGAUGGCAUACAGAGUCACCCCCAAAAACCUUUCUACACAGUUGGUGAGAAGGUGACUGUUUCCUGUUCAGGUGGCAUGUCCUUAGAAGGUCCUUCAGCAUUUCUCUGUGGCUCCAGCCUUAAGUGGAGUCCUGAGAUGAA
RNAcentral lists this small RNA (558 nucleotides) under Pongo abelii (Sumatran orangutan). RNAcentral describes it as "retained intron". Lineage: Eukaryota; Metazoa; Chordata; Mammalia; Primates; Hominidae. The record is from RNAcentral.